CAACANAGGGAAGCAAGACCGCGAGGUGGAGCAAAUCCCUAAAAGCCAUCCCAGUUCGGAUUGCAGGCUGCAACCCGCCUGUAUGAAGUUGGAAUCGCUAGUAAUCGCGGAUCAGCAUGCCGCGGUGAAUACGUUCCCGGGCCUUGUACACACCGCCCGUCACACCAUGAGAGUCGGGAACACCCGAAGUCCGUAGCCUAACCGCAAGGGGGCGCGGCGAAGGUGGGUUCGAUAAUUGGGGUGAAGUCGUAACAAGGUAUC
RNAcentral lists this ribosomal RNA (261 nucleotides) under uncultured bacterium. Its description in RNAcentral is "partial 16S ribosomal RNA". It matches the Rfam family "Bacterial small subunit ribosomal RNA", at positions 1237 to 1500 of the family's 1533-position model. The record is from RNAcentral.